ACGGCUCAGUAACACGUGGAUAACCUGCCCUUGGGUCCGGCAUAACCCCGGGAAACUGGGGAUAAUUCCGGAUAACGCACAUAUGCUGGAAUGCUUUUUGCGUAAAAUGGAUUCGUCUGCCCAGGGAUGGGUCUGCGGCCUAUCAGGUAGUAGUGGGUGUAAUGUACCUACUAGCCUACGACGGGUACGGGUUGUGAGAGCAAGAGCCCGGAGAUGGAUUCUGAGACAUGAAUCCAGGCCCUACGGGGCGCAGCAGGCGCGAAAACUUUACAAUGCGGGGAACCGUGAUAAGGGGACACCGAGUGCCAGCAUCAUAUGCUGGCUGUCCGGGUGUGUAAAAUACACCUGUUAGCAAGGGCCGGGCAAGACCGGUGCCAGCCGCCGCGGUAACACCGGCGGCCCGAGUGGUGAUCGUGAUUAUUGGGUCUAAAGGGUCCGUAGCCGGUUUGGUCAGUCCUCCGGGAAAUCUGACAGCUUAACUGUUAGGCUUUCGGAGGAUACUGCCAGACUUGGAACCGGGAGAGGUAAGAGGUACUACAGGGGUAGGAGUGAAAUCUUGUAAUCCCUGUGGGACCACCUGUGGCGAAGGCGUCUUACCAGAACGGGUUCGACGGUGAGGGACGAAAGCUGGGGGCACGAACCGGAUUAGAUACCCGGGUAGUCCCAGCCGUAAACGAUGCUCGCUAGGUGUCAGGCAUGGCGCGACCGUGUCUGGUGCCGCAGGGAAGCCGUGAAGCGAGCCACCUGGGAAGUACGGCCGCAAGGCUGAAACUUAAAGGAAUUGGCGGGGGAGCAC
RNAcentral lists this ribosomal RNA (796 nucleotides) under uncultured archaeon. RNAcentral describes it as "bacterial SSU rRNA". It matches the Rfam family "Archaeal small subunit ribosomal RNA", at positions 85 to 879 of the family's 1478-position model. The record is from RNAcentral.